UACGUAGGUGGCAAGCGUUGUCCGGAUUUACUGGGCGUAAAGGAUGCGUAGGCGGAUGUUUAAGUGAGAUGUGAAAUACCCGAGCUCAACUUGGGUGCUGCAUUUCAAACUGGAUAUCUAGAGUGCAGGAGAGGAAAGCGGAAUUCCUAGUGUAGCGGUGAAAUGCGUAGAGAUUAGGAAGAACACCAGUGGCGAAGGCGGCUUUCUGGACUGUAACUGACGCUGAGGCAUGAAAGCGUGGGGAGCAAGCAGG
Molecule: ribosomal RNA, 253 nt
Filed under: uncultured bacterium
Lineage: Bacteria
Description: partial 16S ribosomal RNA
Rfam family: Bacterial small subunit ribosomal RNA
Source: RNAcentral